This 3253-nucleotide long non-coding RNA is filed under the name Sus scrofa (pig). RNAcentral's name for it is "lncRNA (ENSSSCG00025000253.1)". Lineage: Eukaryota; Metazoa; Chordata; Mammalia; Artiodactyla; Suidae. The record is from RNAcentral.
GAGCAGUUCAGCCCCAGAGCAGCAGUACUGGGCCUGUUUGGAGAGCUGUCUUCCUAGUCCAUCAGUAAUGACUUUGAUAACUGUUGGUUUUGAUUAGCAAGAUAGUUCUUUUGAAACUGUCCAGGCUUGAACACGUUAGCUUAUUUUAUGACUUUUGAUAACAGUAAGCUAUUAAAUGUUGUAAAUACAUGCUUUAGUUUUGAUACUGUGAUGUUUUUUCAAAUGAGUAAACUCACAUCAGGAAGAGAACCCUUUGCUGCAGCUUGGCAUAUUGGCUGUAUGAGGGUAGUGUGAGCUGCAAUAACAAAAGGGCCCUGCAGAUAUUCGUGGCUCAACUCUUAAAGUAAGACAGAGAAAUUUAGUAGUUUGUCGGCUAGGAAAUUAAAGGGUCAGUCUUCCUGUUCAGGCAGUUGGGCUCCAGAACACCUGUUCUUCACCUCUCUGCUCUAUUUCCAUCCAACAUGCCAAGACAACUCUGAAAUAUUAUUUCUUUCCCCCACUUUCUCAUACAUGGGAGGGUCAUCUCCCAUGUUGCUGUGCAUGCUGCAGUGUGCAUCUAACUGGAGACACGGAAGUAGUGGAUACAUCAGACCAGAUAACACAUUAUAAGUUGCUGUAAAACUAGCUUGCCUGGGAGUUUCUGUUGUGACUCAGAGCUGAGCUGCCUCAGGAGGCAGUGGAAGUGUUGAGAGACAGGGAUGGAGGCCACUUGACAGUAACAUCCAAAGAAAAUUCAAGAGCCGAGUCAGAGAAUGGACUAGUGUUCCUGAAAGUCGAAUCACGACCUGGGGAGAUAAAUGCCUGCUGUCUGUCACUCCAGAAAGAUUGAUGGCAUCUGAUCCCCUCCCUGCCCAACGCCUCUUGCCUCACUAGUGACUGACAUCUUCAGCAAAUCACGGGAAGUUCCUUUCUUACAGGAUCAUGGGGGCUAAGACACCUUUUGACAAAAUAAACCAAAUUGUUGCCAUGAAAUCAACAAACCAUUUUCCAAGCUUUGGACAACAUCCUAACUUAGGCAAAGGAACUCUGGAGAUGUUGACGAACCUGGGAAAACAGAUGUCUCCAGCCGACUGGUCAUCAAUGGGAGUCAAGCGGAAGCUUGGGAAAUUCAGAUGUCUUUCUUCUAUCUUUCCACCUAGUUGGGCACAUCCCCUGUGUGCUGGUUGAGGAGGACUUAUCACAAUAGCUGCUGGAUCCCUCUUUCUGGACAUGAAAGGACCUCUGAAGUUGGGCCCAAGCAGAAGAUCUGAAGCUAAGCCUGGUAUGUUUGCACAACACAGGCAAAGGAGAGCAGAAAGGCAGCCUCUUGGUGGAGUCAGGUGGGAGACCCAGUAUACGGCCAGGGAAGAAGCAGGCUGAGGGGCUGGCAUGGAGGCAGUGGCCAGGGCCGAGGCCAUGGCAUGAACUCUGGAGAACCAGCAGUGAGUAGACUUGAUGCAAAUUCUGGAACAACAUCCUCAGCUGCAGAGUCAUGGUGCUGCGUGUCUAUAGUCUGGGGUGGGGGUGCCUUUCUGAACUGUGCUACCCUCCUGUUGCUUCAGAAGCAUUUGGUUAUACCCAAGGGAACGUGGUGAGGCUUGGAGGUCUGGAGUGGGGGCUCAGGGACCGACUCCUGAGGUGAAGAUUCUCCUGCCCGUUGCUGUGUGAUCUGGGGGAGGUGCUUCCCUUUUCUAGGCCAGUGUCCUCAUUUGUUUGGGGGCCCCAUUUGCUGAGUGAGAGAGUUGGUAGUUGAUCAAGUUCUAGAGGCUGUAAACUUCUAAAGAGUUAAUAGUUAACUUCAGUGUAAACUGUUGCUGGCUUUAGGGUGCCCUCCUCCUGGGUUAUUUGCAUUUUAUACAAUACUCCUAGGAGACCAAAAUUCCUUAAAGACCUUAAAAAAAGAAUGAGGUCUCAAUGAUGGCAUAAAUGGUGCGUGCGUGUGUGUGUGUGUGGGGGGGGGAAGUUUUGCUUAAAAUUCUGCAAAUCUUUAAAGUCUGUCCCUGAUGUAUUGAAGGAUAAGGAUUUUAUGAAUCAUUUGUGAUGUUCAAACCCUAGGGAUACUCAUGGUGGAAAGGUAGGAACUAUUUCUAAUCUUUUAUUUAGCUAUGGUAAUUCUGUAUGAGCUAGCUGAAACAUCAGGUAUCAGAUCAAUGUGGUUGUCAUUUGGUGAUUAUUUGGGAUUCUGGGGGUGGGAAAUUAUCAGAGAGAAGGGGCCAGGAGUUUAGGAGAUGCCCCAAGUCUCUGGGGUAGUAAGAGCUCACCCCUGUAAGCUGGGUUUGGCUUUUGUUCUCUCAUCUCCCAGCCCUUGUCUUCACCGUCAGGCCCCACAUGUGUUCACCAUCAGAACAUGAGCUCUUCCAGGCUGGUUCACUGCUGGGAGCCAGAGUCACGAAGCUAACAGGUUCUUAGUUAACUGUGGUUGAAGGUUGCUGUUCUCAUCCGAGACUCCGAGUUCACCCAGCUGCAGAGUGGUCCCUGCUGCCAGCUCCUGGGUCUGUGAGCUGAAUGCCCAGCGUUUCCUUUCUAAAGGCACCUCCCAGGCAGAGGGUCUCACAGGUCUUGGAUGCUGGACUUGGUCACUUUUCAGGAUAGAAACAGGGGGAUGAAAUGAAACACCCAUCUCACAUCCCAGUACCUCCCACCUUAUUCUCAGGAAUGAAAAAAGCGAGCUUGUCACUUCAAAGGAAAGGAUGGGCAGGCUGUACGUGUUGGUGAUGACAACCGGCAAGCUUUCAAGCAAAGAUCUGAAUUUUGGAAACUCAUGUCCACCAUUGGGAGCUUGAUAGCUUCCUAAUAUUUAUAGACUGAUAAAAUUGGCAGUGAUGUGAACAAAUGUGACUUUUUGAUAGUGUAGAAUGAAAUACAUCAGCAUUUGGAAGAUCCGUACAAUUCUCUGGGCUACUAUUUCCCAAAUGACCAAUGAAAGAAACUACAAAAUCACACACAGAUAAAAGAUCCAUUGAAAGUAUAAGAGAGACCAGUAUAUUUUUACAGAACAGUGUGCAAAAAGCUCACUGAUAUAAUUUUGGAUUCCAUGUUGAAAGUAACCUUUAAGAAACUACCACUUAGCUUCAGUGUGUUAUCAAAGAAGAGUAUCCAUAAAAUUAUCUGCAAAGGCUAUUGAAACACUUCUCCUUUUCCCAACUACAUAGCCUCACAUGCUUCAACCAAAAUAAUAUAUGGCAGGUGGAAUGUAGACACAGAUAUGAAGAUCCCUCUUAAGUCACACAUCAAAAAGAUUUGGAAAGAUGAAAUAAAGUUGCUUCUCUCCUCA